GUGUGUGACACAUUCCCAACAAC
This 23-nucleotide non-coding RNA is filed under the name Arabidopsis thaliana (thale cress). The record is from RNAcentral. Lineage: Eukaryota; Viridiplantae; Streptophyta; Magnoliopsida; Brassicales; Brassicaceae.